Molecule: ribosomal RNA, 1118 nt
Organism: Toxoplasma gondii ME49
Lineage: Eukaryota; Apicomplexa; Conoidasida; Eucoccidiorida; Sarcocystidae
Source: RefSeq, a predicted model, not a curated record
AGUUUGAGAUAGGUCGAGGGCGACGCGCCCCCGAUGCCUCUAAUCAUUCGCUUUACCUGAUACACUUAAGAAACUCCAGCUAUCCUGAGAGAAACUUCGGAAGAAUUCAGCUACUAGAUGGUUCGAUUAGUCUUUCGCCCCUAUACCCAAGUUUGACGAACGAUUUGCACGUCAGUAUCGCUACGAACCUCCAUCAGGGUUUCCCCUGACUUCAUUCUACUCAGGCAUAGUUCACCAUCUUUCGGGUCCUAACAGAUAUGCUCCAACUCAAACCUCUCUCAGAGAUCGUGGUCGGUCGUAGGUGCGAAGAAUGGCAAAGCCAAAAUCUCCCUACUCUCACUUUCAUUGCGCAUACAGGAGUAAAACCCGCAUACUCGCACAUAUGUUAGACUCCUUGGUCCGUGUUUCAAGACGGGUCGGUUGGAACCGAUUAAGCCAGCAUCACAGAAACCGAGUACUCGAAAGUGGAGCUCGGAAACAGGAACACUCCUCAGCCACAAGGAAAAGGAAAGAACAAAGAUAUAACGGUCCACAAGGAACCUACCUUCUUUGAACGAAAUCAAUUCCGAGUAGCUGAUGCUGACCUCUCCAAAAAGAUGAACCGGAAAUACAUCAAGAAACCAAAGCCUAAACCUGGUGAGAGAGAGAAGGCAAAGGGAUAGAUGGCAAACCGGCGGCACUUCUUGGAAUCAAAAAGGUCCCAAUCGCUUCCUUUUCAGCAAUUUCAGGCACUUUUAACUCUCUUUCCAAAGAACUUUUCAUCUUUCCCUCACGGUACUUGUUUGCUAUCGGUCUCGCGCCAGUACUUAGCUUUAUGUGAAACCUACCACACAUUUUGCGCUCAAAUCCCGAUGAACGCGACUCUAUAAAAGCGUACCGUACGUGGAACAAAAAACGCAGGGGAAGGACGGGAUUCUCACCCUCUAUGAUGUUCUUUCCCAAGAAACUUAACACUGCGCUUCCACUGGUAACGCCUCUCGAGGCUACAAGUCAACAGCUCGGAAAGAGCAGUUGAUUUCCACUUUGAGCUGAUCCCGGUUCACUCGCCGUUACUAAGGGAAUCAUAGUUAUUUUCUUCUCCUCCGCUUAAUAAUAUGCUUAAGUUCAGCGGGUAACCU